This 400-nucleotide ribosomal RNA is filed under the name phytoplankton environmental sample. RNAcentral describes it as "partial small subunit ribosomal RNA". It matches the Rfam family "Eukaryotic small subunit ribosomal RNA", at positions 587 to 981 of the family's 1831-position model. The record is from RNAcentral.
AGCUCCAAUAGCGUAUAUUAAAGUUGUUGCAGUUAAAAAGCUCGUAGUUGGAUUUGUGGUUCGUCCCGCCGGCUGGGUCAUUGACUUUUGCUGUGCUGGUCGUCCAUCCUUGGGUGGAAUCUGUGUGGCAUUAGGUUGUCGCGCAGGGGAUGCCCAUCGUUUACUGUGAAAAAAUUAGAGUGUUCAAAGCAGGCAUUCAUCGUGCCCGAAUACAUGAGCAUGGAAUAAUGGAACAGGACUACGGUCACUGCACUUUUUCCGUUGGUUUCGGAGGACCGAAGUAAUGAUUAAGAGGGACAGUUGGGGGCAUCCGUAUUUCGUAGUCAGAGGUGAAAUUCUUGGAUCUGCGAAAGACGAACGAGUGCGAAAGCAUUUGCCAAGAGUGUUUUCAUUAAUCAAG